CCUCCUACGGGGCGCAGCAGUGAGGAAUAUUGGUCAAUGGGCGGGAGCCUGAACCAGCCAAGUCGCGUGAGGGAAGACUGCCCUAUGGGUUGUAAACCUCUUUUGUCAGGGAGCAACGCCGGCUACGUGCAGCCGGACUGAGAGUACCUGAAGAAAAAGCAUCGGCUAACUCCGUGCCAGCAGCCGCGGUAAUACGGAGGAUGCGAGCGUUAUCCGGAUUUAUUGGGUUUAAAGGGUGCGUAGGCGGAAUGCCAAGUCAGCGGUAAAAUCGCGGGGCUCAACCUCGCUCCGCCGUUGAAACUGGG
Molecule: ribosomal RNA, 305 nt
Filed under: uncultured bacterium
Lineage: Bacteria
Description: bacterial SSU rRNA
Rfam family: Bacterial small subunit ribosomal RNA
Source: RNAcentral